Molecule: long non-coding RNA, 292 nt
Filed under: Marmota monax (woodchuck)
Lineage: Eukaryota; Metazoa; Chordata; Mammalia; Rodentia; Sciuridae
Source: RNAcentral
CAGCCCUUGAGUCACUACCCCAUCCACCAUGCCAUCCGCAGGAUGGAUUUAACAAAAGACUGAACUGCAUUUAUACUCAACCGACUCUGUGAAAGAUCUUUUUCAAAGUUUUGUGUAAACAAAGCAAAAUUCAAGCUGGCAGCUACAACAGAAGUCACAGGCAAUUGCACCUCUGCAGCAUUUUUUCUACGUUUGAAGGGAAAAAAAAACAGCUCAUGCUAAAGUAAUUAAGGCAACCUGGAAUCUAAGCAUCUGAUAAUGUCAGUUAUCUUCUAGUUAAGCCAGCAGAGGG